This 22-nucleotide microRNA is filed under the name Daphnia pulex (common water flea). RNAcentral describes it as "Dpu-Mir-76_5p* (star (passenger))". The record is from RNAcentral. RNAcentral also lists the same sequence under 1 other name. Lineage: Eukaryota; Metazoa; Arthropoda; Branchiopoda; Diplostraca; Daphniidae.
CGGGUUUCGCGACGCUCGAACG